Molecule: ribosomal RNA, 468 nt
Filed under: uncultured bacterium
Lineage: Bacteria
Description: partial 16S ribosomal RNA
Rfam family: Bacterial small subunit ribosomal RNA
Source: RNAcentral
GACGAACGCUGGCGGCGUGCUUAACACAUGCAAGUCGAACGGAAAGGCCCUGCUUUUGUGGGGUGCUCGAGUGGCGAACGGGUGAGUAACACGUGAGUAACCUGCCCUUGACUUUGGGAUAACUUCAGGAAACUGGGGCUAAUACCGGAUAGGAGCUCCUGCUGCAUGGUGGGGGUUGGAAAGUUUCGGCGGUUGGGGAUGGACUCGCGGCUUAUCAGCUUGUUGGUGGGGUAGUGGCUUACCAAGGCUUUGACGGGUAGCCGGCCUGAGCGGGUGACCGGCCACAUUGGGACUGGGAUGCGGCCCAGACUCCUACGGGAGGCAGCAGUGGGGAAUAUUGCACAAUGGGCGGAAGCCUGAUGCAGCAACGCCGCGUGCGGGAUGACGGCCUUCGGGUUGUAAACCGCUUUCGCCUGUGACGAAGCGUGAGUGACGGUAAUGGGUAAAGAAGCACCGGCUAACUACGUG